AGUGAACGCUGGCGGUAGGCCUAACACAUGCGAGUCGAACGGCAGCACAGUAAGAGCUUGCUCUUACGGGUGGCGAGUGGCGGACGGGUGAGGAAUACAUCGGAAUCUACUUUUUCGUGGGGGAUAACGUAGGGAAACUUACGCUAAUACCGCAUACGACCUACGGGUGAAAGCAGGGGAUCUUCGGACCUUGCGCGAUUGAAUGAGCCGAUGUCGGAUUAGCUAGUUGGCGGGGUAAAGGCCCACCAAGGCGACGAUCCGUAGCUGGUCUGAGAGGAUGAUCAGCCACACUGGAACUGAGACACGGUCCAGACUCCUACGGGAGGCAGCAGUGGGGAAUAUUGGACAAUGGGCGCAAGCCUGAUCCAGCCAUUCCGCGUGGGUGAAGAAGGCCUUCGGGUUGUAAAGCCCUUUUGUUGGGAAAGAAAAGCAGCAGGUUAAUACCCCGCUGUUCUGACGGUACCCAAAGAAUAAGCACCGGCUAACUUCGUG
This 492-nucleotide ribosomal RNA is filed under the name uncultured bacterium. RNAcentral's name for it is "partial 16S ribosomal RNA". It matches the Rfam family "Bacterial small subunit ribosomal RNA", at positions 29 to 507 of the family's 1533-position model. The record is from RNAcentral.